UGGAAAGGGAGUGGGUGGUGGGGGGGUGUGUGGCUUUAGGGUCUCUGGCUUAGGAAGCUGAGUCUCCGUAGUGCCAUUCAUACAGAUGGAAUGAGGGAAGAAGCAGUUUCAUGGGAAAGUAGUAAAUUUGAUUGAGUAACAAGAGCUUGGGGGAUCCAGAAGAGAGCUAGGUUUGCAGUUCAGGAGUCCAGGAGAGAGUCAGACUGAAAACAUAAGCCCAUGGAUAGUCAGUCAUUGAAGCCAUGGGAAUGAAGAUCACCUAUGGGAAACACAGAUAGAAGCGAAUGUUACCACAAUGAAGUGUGGUCUAUACAAUUAAUUGCUGCAAAGAGGUCAGAUGAGAAAAUGAAGAUGUUAUGUGUCUUUCUCAGCCCAUGAGUAGUAGAUUUUCAGUUCAAAUUCCAACCUUUCUCCAAAUCCAUAUUCCGUACACAGCACCACCUCUCAGCAUAUAUUUGCUAUGUGGUAGCAGAAUCCUUGGUGAAUGAGCAUCGAAAGGCAUGUUUUGAUCAGGCUGGGAAAUGAGGAGAGAAUGCGAAGAUCUGAAAGGAUCCCCUGUCUGGAAUAAAUCUUGGUAAAAGAUGCUACGAAAGCUGGACCUAGGACAGGA
Molecule: long non-coding RNA, 610 nt
Filed under: Homo sapiens (human)
Lineage: Eukaryota; Metazoa; Chordata; Mammalia; Primates; Hominidae
Description: non-protein coding LINC01744:9
Source: RNAcentral